Molecule: long non-coding RNA, 1578 nt
Organism: Gallus gallus (chicken)
Lineage: Eukaryota; Metazoa; Chordata; Aves; Galliformes; Phasianidae
Source: Ensembl
UUUCACUGUGCCUUCAGUACAGUGCAUAUCAAGUGGCUUGUGCAUGAAUGGCACAGUCCAAGCAUCACUGUGCCUCUAAGAGAGUGCUGUAUCUCUUCUCACCCUCCUAUUUGCACUGAGAAAGAGAAGUGGUUUUUGGUAGUCCCCGAAGUAAUCCUUCAUCCGUGUGAAAGUGGAAUGCUAAAAGAACAAGUUGACAACAGCACCAGAAAAUAAGGUGAAAAUAUGUCACCAUUUAGUGAGUACAACCUGAUAACAGACCAACAUAACAGACCACGUGAGAGGAGAAAAAGCAGUCUUCAGCUGUGAGCUGUGUACGUACACCUCACUCAAGAGAUCGAGUCGGAACUGUCACAGGAAAAUCCAUUCUGAAGAAAAAUGUCACGUGUCUCAAGGCUUUUCAAACAGCUGCUCUCCUGCAGAACCACGUGAAUGUCCAUACAGCAGCGUGGUGUGCACAAGCAUCCUGAAAACUGUGGAUUGGUGAGGGCCAAAACUGCUACGCCCAGAAAAAGAAGCAAGGACAGAAGGAAAGAAAGUGAGAAUGAAAAGCAUGCUAAGCAAGAAGAUGUCUCUACUGUGAAGAGUGAACAUUGUGCCAGAGAGAUUGCUCCUCAUUUAGAAGGAACAGAGGGAACAGCUUUGAAAGCAGAAGACAGAAGCACCUUGUGAGAUGGCUGUGAUGGACUGACAUCUGAAGGUUAUUGGGAAGCUUCACCUCUUUUAUUCCAUUCACACAACAGAACGAAGAAAAUGAGCUAAAUUUGAAAGCUUGCUGUUGGUUGGACUUCUCAGCUUGUUGCCCAUCCUUCCCAACACCAGAUGUUAGGAAACAUGUGACAGCAGCAUGGUUUGGACUGAAUGUAGCAGCAUGGCUCAAUCAGUCAAUAAGGAAAGGAAGAACAAACACUCAUCAAAUUCAAUGUUGAUAUGGAUAUCUUUACUUGAAAUGGUGGUGAUGCUGCUGGAAUCUGCUGAGAAGCAUCGCCUUGAGGCUGACUCCUCCACACCUGUGGAGUGUCAGGGCCAACCAUUGCCCAUGCUGGUGAGCUUUGGGGAGGAGCAGGUCAGACAGAGCCACAGCACUCUAUUACAGAAGCCUCGUGACCAAGACAGAUGCCAGUAGCUGGAACCUUGGCAAACUAAAUAAAAAAGAAAAGAAGUGGAACUCUAUUCGUCUCUCAUGUACUGAUUGCUCCCUCGUGUGACACUUCUAAAUGUAAGUGAAAAGGAACAAGUCCUUCAUCCUACACCUCUGAAUUCUGGCACGGGUUUGGUUUGUGGUGUGACCUGUUGAGAAGCCUCCUGCUGGCUCUCCGUGUGCUGCAGUGUCCUUACCCAUGGCAUGCAGUCUCUGUAUGCUUUAGAAUUAAACAAAUGAGAAAGUUGUGCAGCUUAAACCCUCUUCCAAACCUCAGUAAUUGUCUUCCCCCCCCACCCAGUUUCAGAAAACACAAAUCCAUCCCAUGCUGCUCUCACAGUUACUGCUGGUUUAUAUCUGGGCAGAAGCAAUUGGUGCAAGAAGCAUUGCUUAUAGGACAGUGCCUAAAAAUACUUCCAAAGGUCACUGCACAUCAG